RNAcentral lists this unclassified non-coding RNA (479 nucleotides) under Hevea brasiliensis (rubber tree). The record is from RNAcentral. Lineage: Eukaryota; Viridiplantae; Streptophyta; Magnoliopsida; Malpighiales; Euphorbiaceae.
AAUGUCUGAAGUUGUCCAGGAUCUUUUGCACAUGAUAUGAUAUGGAGGAGAAUCUGAAGUACUCAAUCAACUGAAACUCAAGAUUUUGGUCAGAUGGGAAGUUAUUGGAGAAACAGUAUUUAUAACGUUAUUCAUCUGUUAUGUAUACUUGAGGGCUUGUUUGGAUGGAAAUUUUAGAGAUAACCUAGCUACAAAUUCUUCUAGUGCUAUAUCUACUAUUUAUUGUUCUGUAUAUUCUUUGGAGAUGUGUUAAUACAAUUAUUAUCAUUAUUUGUGCAUAUGAAUUUCUGAUGUAAUUAUUCAUUCUUGGUGCCUUAGUUUGAAAAUAGUUGAACUUGAGAUCUCACGGUCUUAUAGAUGAUUCCAAUAUGACUAAGUUAAAGCGCAUUGGAUGGUUCAUGUAAUUAUUUAUUUAUUAUUGAACUUUUAUGUCAGAGUAUCAACUGCUCGCUGAAGGGUUUGUUGAAUACCAACCGCUG